AGGUCCUUCCAUAGUGACGCCCCCCAAGGACAUCUGGAAUGUCACUGGUGCCCAGGUGUACUUGAGCUGUGAGGUCAUCGGAAUCCCGACACCUGUCCUCAUCUGGAACAAGGUAAAAAGGGGUCACUAUGGAGUUCAAAGGACAGAACUCCUGCCUGGUGACCGGGACAACCUGGCCAUUCAGACCCGGGGUGGCCCAGAAAAGCAUGAAGUAACUGGCUGGGUGCUGGUAUCUCCUCUAAGUAAGGAAGAUGCUGGAGAAUAUGAGUGCCAUGCAUCCAAUUCCCAAGGACAGGCUUCAGCAUCAGCAAAAAUUACAGUGGUUGAUGCCUUACAUGAAAUACCAGUGAAAAAAGGUACACAAUAAAUCUCACAGCCAUUUAAAAAUGACUAGUACAUUUGCUUUAAAAAGAACAGAACUAAGUAUGAAAGUAUCAGACGUAGCUAUUGAUGAAAUUCUGUAGUUAGCAACCCAUAAGGGCAUUAAGUAUGCCAUUAAAAUGUACAGCAUGAGACUCCAAAAGAUUAUCUGGAUGGGUGACUGAACAUCGUUAUUAUGACUUAGAUGCUUUUACCUUAUCUAACAUGUAAGAGUCAAAAUCAAACUUGCCUGGAAUGGCUUCUAUUUCCCAUAGCUUUCUACCUAUCUACUUGGCAUUUUCCCUUUGUGUUGUGACUAUUAAAUUCCUAUUUAAAAGAAAAUGAUUGUGGGCAAUUCUCGCCCUUCACUUUUGCUUUUAAAAG
RNAcentral lists this long non-coding RNA (744 nucleotides) under Homo sapiens (human). Its description in RNAcentral is "non-protein coding lnc-IGFBP7-1:2". Lineage: Eukaryota; Metazoa; Chordata; Mammalia; Primates; Hominidae. The record is from RNAcentral.